RNAcentral lists this ribosomal RNA (910 nucleotides) under Rhizobium sp. RNAcentral's name for it is "partial 16S ribosomal RNA". It matches the Rfam family "Bacterial small subunit ribosomal RNA", at positions 584 to 1503 of the family's 1533-position model. The record is from RNAcentral. Lineage: Bacteria; Pseudomonadati; Pseudomonadota; Alphaproteobacteria; Hyphomicrobiales; Rhizobiaceae.
UCAGUCAGGAAGUGAAAUCGCAGGGCUCAGCCCUGGAACUGCUUUUGAUAGUGUCGAUCUUGAGUAUGGAAGAGGUGAGUUGAAUUCUGAGUGUAGAGAUGAAUUGAUAGAUAUGGGGACGCCCACCAGUGGGGAGGGCGUCUCACUGGUACAUUACUGACGCUGAGGUGAGAAAGCGAGCAGAGCAAACAGAUUACAUACCGUGGUACUCCACGCAAUAAGCGAUGAAUGUUAGCCGUGCGGGCAGUAUACUGUUCGGUAAGCAGCUAACGCAUUAAACAUUCCGCCUGGGGAGUACGGUCACAAGAAAAAAAAAAAAGAAUUGAGGGGGGCCCCCACAAGCGGUGGAGCAUGUUUUAUAAUUUGAAACAACGAGCAGAACUUUACCAGCCCUUGACAUGCCAGGCUACAGCAGAAAUGCAGGCCCUUUUGAAGGACCGGGACACAGGUGCAGCAUGGCUUCAUCAGCUGUCGUGGUGAGAUGGGGUAAGAAGUCCCGCAAGGGCAACCACCCUCGCUAGUACCAGCAGCUAAUGGUUGGGCAUUUUAAGGGGACUGCCGGUGCUAAGCCGAGGAAAAGGGGGGGGGGAUCUAAAGUCCUCAGCCCCUUUAGGGGGUGGGAUACACAUGUGUUACAAUUGUGGUGACAGGGGGCAAAGAGCACGGGAGUAUGAGAUUAUCUCCAAAAGCCAUCUCAGUUCGGAUUGCACUCUGCAACUCGAGUGCAUGAAGUUGGAAUCGCUAGUAAUCGCGGAUCAGCAUGCCGCGGUGAAUACGUUCCCGGGCCUUGUACACACCGCCCGUCACACCAUGGGGAGUUUUUUGCACCAGAAGCAGGUAGCUAAACGCAAGGAGGCAGCUAACCACGGUAGGGUCAGAGACUGGGGGAAGUCGAUCAAGAGCUAGCCCC